RNAcentral lists this ribosomal RNA (1282 nucleotides) under metagenome. RNAcentral's name for it is "bacterial SSU rRNA". It matches the Rfam family "Bacterial small subunit ribosomal RNA", at positions 8 to 1276 of the family's 1533-position model. The record is from RNAcentral.
AGAGUUUGAUCCUGGCUCAGGACGAACGCUGGCGGCGUGCUUAACACAUGCAAGUCGAACGAGAAUCUGCGGAAAGAGGAUUCGUCCAAUUGAAGCAGAGGACAGUGGCGGACGGGUGAGUAACGCGUGAGGAACCUGCCUUUCAGAGGGGGACAACAGUUGGAAACGACUGCUAAUACCGCAUGACACAUUGAGGUCGCAUGGCCUUAAUGUCAAAGAUUUAUCGCUGAAAGAUGGCCUCGCGUCUGAUUAGCUAGUUGGUGGGGUAACGGCCCACCAAGGCUACGAUCAGUAGGGGUUCUGAGAGGAAGGUCCCCCACGUUGGAACUGAGACACGGUCCAAACUCCUACGGGAGGCAGCAGUGAGGAAUAUUGGUCAAUGGACGGGAGUCUGAACCAGCCAAGUAGCGUGCAGGACGACGGCCCUAUGGGUUGUAAACUGCUUUUAUAGGGGGAUAAAGUGUGCCACGUGUGGCAUAUUGCAGGUACCCUAUGAAUAAGGACCGGCUAAUUCCGUGCCAGCAGCCGCGGUAAUACGGAAGGUCCGGGCGUUAUCCGGAUUUAUUGGGUUUAAAGGGAGCGUAGGCCGUCUUAUAAGCGUGUUGUGAAAUGUCGGGGCUCAACCUGGGCAUUGCAGCGCGAACUGUGAGACUUGAGUGCGCAGGAAGUAGGCGGAAUUCGUCGUGUAGCGGUGAAAUACUUAGAUAUGACGAAGAACUCCGAUUGCGAAGGCAGCCUGCUGUAGCGCAACUGACGCUGAAGCUCGAAAGCGUGGGUAUCGAACAGGAUUAGAUACCCUGGUAGUCCACGCGGUAAACGAUGGAUGCUCGCUGUUUGCGUCUGACGUAAGCGGCCAAGCGAAAGCGUUAAGCAUCCCACCUGGGGAGUACGCCGGCAACGGUGAAACUCAAAGGAAUUGACGGGGGCCCGCACAAGCGGAGGAACAUGUGGUUUAAUUCGAUGAUACGCGAGGAACCUUACCCGGGCUUGAACUGUAGGCGAACGAUUCAGAGAUGAAGAGGCCCUUCGGGGCGCCUAUGGAGGUGCUGCAUGGUUGUCGUCAGCUCGUGCCGUGAGGUGUCGGCUUAAGUGCCAUAACGAGCGCAACCCUUGUUCGUAGUUGCCAUCGGUUAAAGCCGGGCACUCUGCGAAGACUGCCUCCGUAAGGAGUGAGGAAGGUGGGGAUGACGUCAAAUCAGCACGGCCCUUACGUCCGGGGCUACACACGUGUUACAAUGGCAUGUACAGAAAGCUGGGUGUAUGCAAAUACGCUCGAAUCCCU